CCUACGGGUGGCUGCAGUGGGGAAUAUUGGACAAUGGGCGAAAGCCUGAUCCAGCCAUGCCGCGUGUGUGAAGAAGGCCUUCGGGUUGUAAAGCACUUUCAGUGGGGAAGAAAGCCUUGGGGCUAAUACCCUCGAGGAAGGACAUCACCCACAGAAGAAGCACCGGCUAACUCCGUGCCAGCAGCCGCGGUAAUACGGAGGGUGCGAGCGUUAAUCGGAAUUACUGGGCGUAAAGCGCGCGUAGGCGGUCUGAUAAGCCGGUUGUGAAAGUCCCGGGCUCAACCUGGGAACGGCAUCCGGAACUGUCAGGCUAGAGUGCAGGAGAGGAAGGUAGAAUUCCCGGUGUAGCGGUGAAAUGCGUAGAGAUCGGGAGGAAUACCAGUGGCGAAGGCGGCCUUCUGGACUGACACUGACGCUGAGGUGCGAAAGCGUGGGUAGCAAACAGGAUUAGAUACCCCUGUAGUC
RNAcentral lists this ribosomal RNA (465 nucleotides) under Vreelandella stevensii. RNAcentral's name for it is "partial 16S ribosomal RNA". It matches the Rfam family "Bacterial small subunit ribosomal RNA", at positions 338 to 795 of the family's 1533-position model. Lineage: Bacteria; Pseudomonadati; Pseudomonadota; Gammaproteobacteria; Oceanospirillales; Halomonadaceae. The record is from RNAcentral.